ACGGCAGCACGGAGCUUGCUCUGGUGGCGAGUGGCGAACGGGUGAGUAAUAUAUCGGAACGUACCCUGGAGUGGGGGAUAACGUAGCAAAAGUUACGCUAAUACCGCAUACGAUCUAAGGAUGAAAGUGGGGGAUUCGCAAGAACCUCAUGCUCGUGGAGCGGCCGAUAUCUGAUUAGCUAGUUGGUAGGGUAAAAGCCUACCAAGGCAUCGAUCAGUAGCUGGUCUGAGAGGACGACCAGCCACACUGGAACUGAGACACGGUCCAGACUCCUACGGGAGGCAGCAGUGGGGAAUUUUGGACAAUGGGCGCAAGCCUGAUCCAGCAAUGCCGCGUGAGUGAAGAAGGCCUUCGGGUUGUAAAGCUCUUUUGUCAGGGAAGAAACGGUGGGAGCUAAUAUCUCCUGCUAAUGACGGUACCUGAAGAAUAAGCACCGGCUAACUACGUGCCAGCAGCCGCGGUAAUACGUAGGGUGCAAGCGUUAAUCGGAAUUACUGGGCGUAAAGCGUGCGCAGGCGGUUUUGUAAGUCUGAUGUGAAAUCCCCGGGCUCAACCUGGGAAUUGCAUUGGAGACUGCAAGGCUAGAAUCUGGCAGAGGGGGGUAGAAUUCCACGUGUAGCAGUGAAAUGCGUAGAUAUGUGGAGGAACACCGAUGGCGAAAGCAGCCCCCUGGGUCAAGACUGACGCUCAUGCACGAAAGCGUGGGGAGCAAAC
RNAcentral lists this ribosomal RNA (714 nucleotides) under uncultured bacterium. RNAcentral describes it as "bacterial SSU rRNA". It matches the Rfam family "Bacterial small subunit ribosomal RNA", at positions 66 to 773 of the family's 1533-position model. The record is from RNAcentral.